RNAcentral lists this ribosomal RNA (314 nucleotides) under uncultured bacterium. Its description in RNAcentral is "bacterial SSU rRNA". It matches the Rfam family "Bacterial small subunit ribosomal RNA", at positions 28 to 334 of the family's 1533-position model. The record is from RNAcentral.
GAUGAACGCUAGCUACAGGCUUAACACAUGCAAGUCGAGGGGCAGCAUGAACUUAGCUUGCUAAGUUUGAUGGCGACCGGCGCACGGGUGAGUAACACGUAUCCAACCUGCCGAUGACUCGGGGAUAGCCUUUCGAAAGAAAGAUUAAUACCCGAUGGCAUAGUUCUUCCGCAUGGUAGAACUAUUAAAGAAUUUCGGUCAUCGAUGGGGAUGCGUUCCAUUAGCUUGUUGGCGGGGUAACGGCCCACCAAACCGACGAUGGAUAGGGGUUCUGAGAGGAAGGUCCCCCACAUUGGUACUGAGACACGGACCAA